CCAAUAGCGUAUAUUAAAGUUGUUGCAGUUAAAAAGCUCGUAGUUGAAUUUCGGGAUCAAGUCGUCGGUCGUGCCUCGGUACGCACUGGUGACAUUGGUUUCUCCCUUCUGAAGAACCUUGAUGUCAUUAAUUUGGUGUCUUGGGGAAUCAGGACUGUUACUUUGAAAAAAUUAGAGUGUUUAAAGCAGGCUCACGCUUGAAUACAUUAGCAUGGAAUAAUGAAAUAGGACAUUUGAUUCUAUUUUGUUGGUUUCUAGGAUCGACGUAAUGAUUAAUAGGGAUAGUUGGGGGCAUUAGUAUUCAAUUGUCAGAGGUGAAAUUCUUGGAUUUAUUGAAGACUAACUACUGCGAAAGCAUUUGCCAAGGAUGUCUUCAUUAAUCAAGAACGAAAGUUAGGGGAUCGAAGACGAUCAGAUACCGUCGUAGUCUUAACCAUAAACUAUGCCGACUAGGGAUCGGAUGAUGUUAAUUUUUUAAUGACUCAUUCGGCGCCUUACG
RNAcentral lists this unclassified non-coding RNA (499 nucleotides) under uncultured Glomus. RNAcentral's name for it is "SSU rRNA". It matches the Rfam family "Eukaryotic small subunit ribosomal RNA", at positions 591 to 1092 of the family's 1831-position model. Lineage: Eukaryota; Fungi; Glomeromycota; Glomeromycetes; Glomerales; Glomeraceae. The record is from RNAcentral.